RNAcentral lists this ribosomal RNA (842 nucleotides) under Cryptosporidium andersoni. Its description in RNAcentral is "SSU rRNA". It matches the Rfam family "Eukaryotic small subunit ribosomal RNA", at positions 195 to 1081 of the family's 1831-position model. The record is from RNAcentral. Lineage: Eukaryota; Apicomplexa; Conoidasida; Eucoccidiorida; Cryptosporidiidae.
CUCAUAAGGUGCUGAAGGAGUAAAGAACCAAUGAGCUUGGUGAUCAUAAUAACUUUACGGAUCGCAUCUCUGAUGCGACAUAUCAUUCAAGUUUCUGACCUAUCAGCUUUAGACGGUAGGGUAUUGGCCUACCGUGGCUAUGACGGGUAACGGGGAAUUAGGGUUCGAUUCCGGAGAGGGAGCCUGAGAAACGGCUACCACAUCUAAGAAAGGCAGCAGGCGCGCAAAUUACCCAAUCCUGACACAGGGAGGUAGUGACAAGAAAUAACAAUACAGGGCCUAACGGUCUUGUAAUUGGAAUGAGUGAAGUAUAAACCCCUUUACGAGUAUCAAUUGGAGGGCAAGUCUGGUGCCAGCAGCCGCGGUAAUUCCAGCUCCAAUAGCGUAUAUUAAAGUUGUUGCAGUUAAAAAGCUCGUAGUUGGAUUUCUGUUGUAUAAUUUAUAAUAUUACCAAGGUAAUUAUUAUAUUAUCAACAUCCUUCCUAUUAUAUUCUAAAUAUAUAGGAAAUUUUACUUUGAGAAAAUUAGAGUGCUUAAAGCAGGCAACUGCCUUGAAUACUCCAGCAUGGAAUAAUAAGUAAGGACUUUUGUCUUUCUUAUUGGUUCUAGGACAAAAGUAAUGGUUAAUAGGGACAGUUGGGGGCAUUCGUAUUUAACAGCCAGAGGUGAAAUUCUUAGAUUUGUUAAAGACGAACUACUGCGAAAGCAUUUGCCAAGGAUGUUUUCAUUAAUCAAGAACGAAAGUUAGGGGAUCGAAGACGAUCAGAUACCGUCGUAGUCUUAACCAUAAACUAUGCCGACUAGAGAUUGGAGGUUCUUUAUCUAAUAAAUACAACCCUUCC